ACAGGUGCUGCAUGGCUGUCGUCAGCUCGUGCUGUGAAGUGUUGGGUUAAGUCCCGCAACGAGCGCAACCCUUGUCCUUAGUUACCAGCACGUUAUGGUGGGCACUCUAAGGAGACUGCCGGUGACAAACCGGAGGAAGGUGGGGAUGACGUCAAGGUCAUCAUGGCCCUUACGGCCUGGGCUACACACGUGCUACAAUGGUCGGUACAAAGGGUUGCCAAGCCGCGAGGUGGAGCUAAUCCCAUAAAAACCGAUCGUAGUCCGGAUCGCGAGUCUGCAACUCCGACUGCGUGAAGUCGGAAUCGCUAGUAAUCGUGAAUCAGAAUGUCACGGUGAAUACGUUCCCGGGCCUU
Molecule: ribosomal RNA, 353 nt
Filed under: uncultured Pseudomonas sp.
Lineage: Bacteria; Pseudomonadati; Pseudomonadota; Gammaproteobacteria; Pseudomonadales; Pseudomonadaceae
Description: bacterial SSU rRNA
Rfam family: Bacterial small subunit ribosomal RNA
Source: RNAcentral